This 25-nucleotide non-coding RNA is filed under the name Cricetulus griseus (Chinese hamster). The record is from RNAcentral. Lineage: Eukaryota; Metazoa; Chordata; Mammalia; Rodentia; Cricetidae.
CCAUAGAAAGAACUCGGAAACAGGU